CUCUGAGGGAGCUGGGAGUCUAGAAGAUCACACAGCAGGACUGGCUGGCCUAGGAAGGCUCAGCACUGGGAGGAAGAAGCAGAGAAAUAGACUUGUGGGCGCCCUGUGUCCUCUGUCCCUGAACUCAGGUGGCGAUGCCAUCCGGUCUUGUGCCCUGGGAGUACAAAUGAGCUCACCUGAGCCAAGGUGACCAGCCACACCUGUUCCCACAAACCCAGCUCUUGGUCUCCACUUCUUGCUCUCCGUGGGUGGUGACUGCUCCCCAUCUCCCCAGAGAAUACAGUUUAGUGGAACUUCUGUGGAUCUCCUCCUGCGACACUACAUAGCCGAUUUACCCUUCCACCUGUACACAGAUGCCUGAACUCACUGCUCUGCUUCCUAUCUGGGCAGGUUCUGGAAUCAGCCUGCAUGUUGUUUUCUUGACUUUUUUCCUGCUAUAUCCACUAGAGAGGGGACUGACUCAAUGGACCAGAUUCCAGAUUCCCAGCAUCAUUGCAGGUAGAUGAUUCUGCCCAAAGGGGAGCACUACUGUGCUGUGUUCUGAGAGGGAACAUCUUAGGUUAAGUACUGUUUCUGCAAAAGGACCAACCAGAGGGAUCUUUCGGGAGAAGUCAUGCAUAGCACUGACUGUAGUGAGGACUUAUGGAUUUAUACUUACUGCCACGCACAGCAAGUUGUAUGCAUUAACUACCAACAGUCUUGUGUGUCCAUCACACCCUCGCGAAGCGUUUCUUUGAAAUGUUCAAGACGUGUGAAGCAAUCUCUCUUCUUGGUUAAAUCCCAAACAAUUAGUUUUUUAGAAAUAAAUGUAAGGUUUACCUUUCACCUUCUGAUUACAUUAUGAUAACCUUCAGACCCCCUCAAAAGUGAUUCUGCUUUUUGAACUGCUUGGAGAUCUGAAGAGUCAUAAUAUGAAUUCCUUGGUCCAUUGCCACACCAUUGUUGGUGCUGUCAGCCAUUGCUUCCCUCCCACCCCAUCCCCGUCAAGAUCCAAUAAAUGUUUUCCUUGACUUGGCAACA
Mesocricetus auratus (golden hamster) is the source of this 1020-nucleotide long non-coding RNA. RefSeq lists it as uncharacterized. Lineage: Eukaryota; Metazoa; Chordata; Mammalia; Rodentia; Cricetidae. The transcript is spliced from 2 exons. The record is from RefSeq and is a predicted model, not a curated record.